RNAcentral lists this long non-coding RNA (437 nucleotides) under Gallus gallus (chicken). Lineage: Eukaryota; Metazoa; Chordata; Aves; Galliformes; Phasianidae. The record is from RNAcentral.
GGGCCUAAGUCCUGUGGUCUUGCAAACGGCAUAGGUGUAAUCAUCACAUCUUUCUCCUUCUGACUGUCAUGCUCAAAAGUUGAAAACCAAUGCUCUGCAGUCUUCAUAAGACGUGUGAACAUUGCAUAGGCAUCGUGUUCCAGAUAUUCGGGAUUCAAAAGAACUUUCAUUUCCUCACUUGGUUGUGCAGCUUCACUGGCAUGUGAAAAGGCUUGGUGGUCACAAUGGAGGAUAAAGACAAUGGGAGCUAAGAGUUCAUGCAUACCCUGUUUAUAAAGCAACUGCUCAUUUUCUCUGGCAUAGCAGAACAGAACAUCUGUAAGAAUCUUCCUCACAUUCUCUUGCUGGAAAUACUGCAUUUCAGGAAAAGUUCUUGUUACAUCUUGUUCAAUCAUUGCUCGAAGCUCUUUAUCCUGGAAAAAUUUAUUCCAAAGACU